RNAcentral lists this non-coding RNA (251 nucleotides) under Sporanaerobacter sp. RNAcentral's name for it is "T-box sequence". It matches the Rfam family "T-box leader". From Rfam's summary of the family: Uncharged tRNA acts as the effector for transcription antitermination of genes in the T-box leader family. T-boxes are found upstream of many aminoacyl-tRNA synthetase genes and some amino acid biosynthetic genes usually in Gram-positive bacteria. Lineage: Bacteria; Bacillati; Bacillota; Tissierellia; Tissierellales; Sporanaerobacteraceae. The record is from RNAcentral.
UUUAAAGCGAUGAUAAGAAGAGUAAACUGUUGCUUAAGGCUAUAGAGAAUCGGCGGUGGUGGAAAUCCGAUGCAAUAGGGCAGUUGAAGAACAUCUUAGAGGAUCUAACCCAAAUCUCUCGGGAGAAAGUAGACUUAGACGGAAUCAGCCCGUUAUCAGCUGAACAGUAUCGAUUGAUGAUCCGUACUGGAUUUAAGUGAGUAUUUACUAAUUAAGGUGGUACCACGGAAAUUAAACCUUCCGUCCUUCUG